This 6044-nucleotide long non-coding RNA is filed under the name Sus scrofa (pig). Its description in RNAcentral is "lncRNA (ENSSSCG00000044287.1)". Lineage: Eukaryota; Metazoa; Chordata; Mammalia; Artiodactyla; Suidae. The record is from RNAcentral.
AUUUAUUUUUAGCUGGCUUCUGACUACUCAGCUGUUAAAACAGUCACUUUGUCUUUUCAACAUACUUACAAGAAGACCAACAGAUGGCCAACAGGCCAAAUUUGAGUUGUGACCCCUACUGUAUGCUCUCUCCCUAGGUGGACAGCAUCCAUUUUCACAGCUUCAAUUACCAUUUACAUAUUAAUGAAACAGGAGGGAAGGGGGGCAGAGCACAACCCUUAAAAAAAUGUCAUACUCCUUGAGGAUAUGACAAAACCUGGUUAGAACCAACUAGGUCCAAGAUGGUGGAUGAUUUGACUUCCAGUGGACCUUGAGCUUCAUUGUACUCUAUUGUAACACUUUAGCAUGCUCAAUGACAUGCCCACAGGUGCUAUGACAGUUCUAAGGCCGACCACAUAAAGCCAAAAGGGAAAGUGGCGUGAUUCCUGUAAACCCCUGCCCCUUCCUGGAAAUAGUUGGAAUAAUCCUUCCACUCAUUAGCCUAUGAAAUUGCCCAGCUCAUAAAAUUCACCACCUCAUAUUUCAGGGCCUAUAACCUUUAGCCAGAGAUGCCCACACUCUGUCUAUGGAGUAUGUUUCUCCUAGGGCUGCUCGCUCUCUCUCUCUCUCUCUCUGAGAUAGCCCAUACUUUGUCUAUCUCUCAAUAAAUCUACUUCUUACCUAUCACUUUUCCUCUUGCUGAAUCCCUUCUGUGCUGAGACAUAAAGCCCCUGAACUUCAGUUAAGUCCUGCGAUUAGGUAUGUGAUUUUAAUUAAAAAACUGUGGGUUCAAGUCCCAGUCUGGGUUUUGAUCAGGUUUGAGUUCUAGCCAUCUGAGGGCAUGGUUUCAAUAACCCCUAAAUUUGUAUUGCCAGCUUCCUCUUCUGAGCUUCAGAUCCAAUGUAACAUAGCCUGCUUACAUAUUCCUAAGAAACAUCAAACUCAAGAUAUCCAAAGCUAAGCUUUUCAUUUUCCACCCAAACUUGCUCUUUUGUGGUGUAUCCUGCCUCAGUGAAUACCAUUCCCUUCUACCAAGUUGCCCCAGUCAGAGCCCUUUGAGACUUCCCACACAAGAGUUCCCAAAUUUGUCUGCUUUUCUUCAUCUCCAUUGCAAACACUGUUGCUGAAACUCGGCCUCUAUAGAAAUGCAGAGACAAAGUUUUGGGUGAAGCAGAAAAAAAUAGCUUUUACUGCUUUGCCAGGCAAAGGAGGCCACAGCAGGCUAAUGCCCUAAAGACUGUGCCCUCCUUUGGGAGAGAAUAGGAAGUGGUGUUAUAGUUUUGGGAGAGAAAAAUAGAGCCACAGAUAAGGAUUAGGGUAGAUACAAGCUUGUAUUCUUCUUCAAAGCUGGUGUUUAGCAGCCUGGACUGAUUCCAGUGGUCCUCUUUUUUUCAGGAGUGAAGAAUGCUUCAUCAAGUAGUUAAUAUUUUUUAUUUAUUGGAGGUUUUAGUUUUGCAAAAGAACUCAAAGAUAUUGUUAUGUAUAUUCCUUGAGGAGAAACCAGGACCCUGCCCUAAGGCAGCACUAUUGUUUCUCUACUGCUCCUCAGUAGUCUCUGCAUCCCCUCCUCCAGCAACUGUUUGAACCUGCCCUUUAGAACUCAGGGAAGGGCAUGGAGGCUUGAAUGAGGCCCAUUUCCUAAAAACAAGAAAUGGGGGACACGGAAAGGUUUUUGUGCCCAGGAGCCUCACAAGGCCCUGCUCUGCUCAGUUUCAACACCUUGAUCUAAAACUAUGAAGUGUUUGUUGGGAGUUCCCUUCAUGGCUCAGUGGUUAACAAAUCCGACUAGGAUUCAUGAGGAUACAGGUUUGUUCCCUGGCCUAGCUCAGUAGAUUAAGGAUCUGGCAUUGCCCUGAGCUGUGGAGUAGGUUGCAGAUGAGGCUCAGAUCCCGCGUUGCUGUGAUUGUAGUGUAGGCUGGCAGCUGUAGCUCUGAUUUGACCCCUAGCCUGGGAACUACCAUAUGCCGCGGGGAAGGGGGGCCCUAAGAAGCAAAAAAUUAAAAACAAAAACAAACUAUUAAAGUGUUUGUUGUAUGAACCAGACACAUGGGCACCUGAGUUGUAAAAUGCAGAUCUCAAGCCCUACCCUAGACUUCCCUAAGCAGAAUCUGCAUUGUAUAAAAUCCCCAGGGAAUUCACUAAGAUUUGAGAACUUCUUACCUUGACUUUUGACAAAAUGUAUUUUCUGGCGUCCCAGCAUCAAUAUGUUGCCCUUUAAAACUCUAUAUUGCAAACCUUUUAAGUCACUUCCCUCAUUAAGUUCCAUAACUAGCUCCCCAUUGCUUUGGAGCUAUAAAGCAAAAACCUACAGAAUACAAAGCCCUACGGAAAUCCCCAUCCUGCCUAGUUCCCAGCCCCAUUCUGACUUGCCCUCUGGACUCCAGCCAUGUUUGUAUUCUUCCCAUUCCUGUGUCAGGGCCUUAUUUUUCCCCAGUCAGGGCCUUUUUGCCAGCUGCCCUCCCCUGCCAGCAUGAUCUCAACUUCCCUAGAGCAUAGCUAAUUCCUACUCCUUCUCUUCCUCAAAGAAGCCCCCUCUUACAACCCCGGUAAGGUCAGCCACUCCAGGUUAAGCUCUCUUUGCCACUGUGCUCCUUCCAACUGUUUAUCACAGUUGUACCUAAAUAAUGGAGUGUGUAUGUUUCCUUGUCUUCCCUGGUUGAAUUGAAGCUCUCAAGCGGCUGCCUCAGCUCUCCCAUUGUUACAUCCUUCCAGCGCCUAGCACAGUGCUUGAUACAUAUUACACAUCAAUGAGUAGCUGUUGACUUGAUGAAUAGGAAUGAAUAAUCAUCUCCAGGGAGUUGUCCUGGCUCAGGGUGGCCCUGCUUUCAAUUUCAAUUGGAAUCAAGAAUCUGAAAAACACUGAAGAGGGCCUAGGAAGUAUAAUUUGGCCACCAGCAAGCAGCUCAGGAUGAAAAUGUCCAAUUCUGACAGAUGUACCCCAUGCACGUGCUGAAAGGAAAACAGAAGCAGCCCGCCUCAGAGUGGUGGUAAACAUUCUGUUUCCUGGCCAGUGCCCUCCUCCUCAAUACACUCCCAAGCUGACCUUUAGAAGGACUUUUGUAUAGUGGGAGGUCUCUUUUAACCUCCAGUGUAUAAGGGCGUGAAGUGGUGUUUGCUUUUUUCCCUUUGUUCUCUGGCUGAGAAAAGUCUGGAGGCGGUUGAGUGAGGCUUACUAAUACAAUUGCCUUCCCUUUCAAAUGCUAAAAAGGGGUUUUGCUCCUGGUUUAAUAUAAUCUGAGCCUUGUAGAGGUCUGGAAGGGAUCCACUCCCCUUCCUUUUGGCAUCUCAUUUCCUGCAGGCUAGGGACAACAUCGCAAUUAAUAGCAAAACCAAAGCUGUAAAAAUAUAAUCUACAUUGCCCUCUAAGCAUCUCGAUGUAGUGAGCCAGCACAGGAGAGUCCAUUGCUAAAUUGACAGGGAAAGCCUGGAGGAGAAAGGUAGGAUGUGUACAGUCCCACUGUCCUGGCUCUGGACAGAGCUCCUGGCAUUCAUGGCAUUCCCCUUGCCGGGAGAGAGCUGGAGUCAGAGACUGACCUGCUGAAGUUGGCUGUAAUCACAGCCCUUUGACUUCCAUACAGGUGUGGAUCUGGGGUUUGGGUGAGCAUGGUGUUUAUAAAAUUUGGAGGGCUCUCUUUAAAAAAGAGAAUGUACAACUAUGAGUCAGAAUGAGAAUAAGAAUUUGAAAAGAACUAAAGGCCAUCAUUGGCUUCAUGAUAAUUACCCCCAAACAGUGUUUGCCUCUUGCUGGAUGUUAGGCCAAAACACACAACCAAGCCAAAGAUCAGGAAAAGCAAGUAAGGAGAACACCAAGGACCUUUCCUAUCGCAGUGACUCCCUGAACAGCAAAAAUAGGGAAGUUUUAAGCUAAGGAUACAUGCAUUUCCAGGAAGGGGCUGGGGUGGUAUAUGCAUAUUCCUAAAGGGACUUGAGCAGGAGAAUUCUGCAUAGAAUUGGGGCAAAUGUUGACAGAGUCCAGGCUUUAGUUGAUUGAAGUCAAGUGGGUUAGUAAAAGUCAACAUCAUUACUCCUUAGGUUCUGAUCACCUGGGGUUUCAGCAUGUAAUUACCAUCCUCCACCUGGGUGGGGGCUUUCAAAAAUGUGUAUCAGAUUGUGAGGAAUAUCCCUUGAAGAGAAACUGGGACUCUGCUUUUUGCUGAACUAUUGUUUCUUGACUUCUUUCCCUUUGUUCCUGCAUUUGCUCACUUCCCUUAAUCACUCAUUGCUGAGACUUGUUCAAAGACAAACAUUGUGGCCAAGCAUGGAUCACAAAAUGGCUUAGACCAAAUGGCUUUUCUUAUGUCAAGAAAGCCAUGCUUGGUUCUCUUUCUCUGGAGACCCCUUUCCCUAUCUGCUUGUAAUACCUCUGCCUCUUCCCCCUAGCAGAGUGUACUGGAAAAGCUGAGGCUUGGUAACCCUUGGACAAGUUACUCCCUCCCUAGAGCCUUAGUUGUGUAAUCUGUAAAAUGGGAUCCUCUACCCAGAGAAAUGAUGUAAGGGAAAGACACUUGAGAGCAAAAAUAAACUAAUGUUUGAUAGGAGAUACUCAAUGAAAACCCCAUUUUGGAGACCUCCUCUCUGGGAACUAUGUGUGUGGAUAAGCUGUACAAGUAUGACCUUCAUAGCUUGUCAUUUUUAGGAGAAUGACAUGGUGAAAAUUGGGCAAAUUACAAAUAGAAAAGUUAUGGGCAUAUAUGAUUGUGUAUAUAUUCUGGAAAGCCUAAAAGGGUACAUGCUUAUCUAUUUAUUGUGGUGGGGUUUUCAUAUUUACUUCUACAUUUAUGAAUUAUUUUUACAAGUACAUAUUUUUAUAAUAUUAUUAUUUUAUUAAAUUUCUCUAAAACAACAAGGAACCCCUAUGCUAAACAGAAGCUCUUUCAAAACCUGUGGAAGGUUGGAAGAUGAAGAUGCCAGAGAUAACUGAGCUUAGUAGUCUGGUUGUGGAAGAGAAUGACUAACCUUAAGGAGAAAUGCAAAUUAAGCUUUGUGCUUGUGAAUGACAGUAGAGCUCAGUUUUAGGCAUGUAGAGUGUGAUGAGUCAGUGGGAUAUACAGGUGGAGGUGUCCAAAACACGCUAUUACCUCUGUGAGGAUGAUCGCCUGGGAAAUCUAUUCCUAGCUCCCUGCUGGAUGUAUGGCUUUUAUUUAUAUAUGCCAUCAACCCAAAGACAACCUCUCUAGCCCUGAAUCCAUCGUGAUUUUCACUCCACAAGCCAUUUUCACCUUCCCACUGCUCUGUGGUGGUUAAAGAGAUUUUCAUUUCCCAAACUCCCUUGUCUACUACUUCUAGGUUGUUUUCAAUUCCCCUCUCCUUUGAUGCUCAUAUUUACUUAGGCACCAAAUCUUACUGAUUUUUUUCCUUUACAGCAUCUCUCACUUCCACAUGUCUUCUACCACGUCUACCUCUUCAAAUUACCUAAUUAUGGUCCUUUUAUUUAUUUAUUUUCUUUCUUUCUUUUUAGGCUGCACCUGUGGCAUGUGGAAGUUCCUGGGCCAGGGAAUUGAAUCCAAGCCACAGGUGCAACCUAUGCCGCUAUACCAGGCCAGGGAUUGAAUCCAAGCCACUGCAGAGACAAUGCUGGAUCCUUAACCCACUAUACCACAGUGAGAACUCCUGGUCGUUAAUUUUUAUAGCAUAACAACUACCUUCUGAUGAGACCCUUGCCUCCGGAAUGUCUCCUAACCAUCCAUUCUGUCUACUACAAUAAGGUUACCCUUCUGAAAACCCUAAAUUGAUCCUGUCACUCCCUUUCUCACAAACUUUGAUUGACUUUCUGUCCUCAACAAGAGAAAGUUCAAAUUCCUUAAUAUUAUAAAAUUCAUAAUAUAUGAAUAUUAUGCUCUAGCAUAUUCUCCAGCCAAAUUGAUCUGUUUUCCAUCUGGGAACCUAUUUUUCUCUCUCCCAGCCUUGCAUGCAACUUUAUUGGAGUAUAUGGACAGUGAAAGAUUAAUUUAUAGAAAUACCUUGAAAUGUAAGAUGAGAGGGGCUUGGUAUUCUGGCAGAGUUUCAGAUGAGAUUCCAUUCUACAUACGAGCUAGCCUGCCAUGCUGGUGCACUCCAGUCACAGA